Molecule: ribosomal RNA, 795 nt
Filed under: uncultured archaeon
Lineage: Archaea
Description: bacterial SSU rRNA
Rfam family: Archaeal small subunit ribosomal RNA
Source: RNAcentral
ACUGCUCAGUAACACGUGGACAACCUACCCUGAGGUCGGGGAUAAGCCCGGGAAACUGGGUAUAAUACCCGAUAGAUCUAGAUCGCUGGAAUGCUUUUAGGUCUAAAGUUCCGACGCCUCAGGAUGGGUCUGCGGCCUAUCAGGGUAGUAGUGGGUGUAAAGUACCUACUAGCCUACGACGGGUACGGGUUGUGAGAGCAAGAGCCCGGAGAUGGAUUCUGAGACACGAAUCCAGGCCCUACGGGGUGCAGCAGGCGCGAAACCUUUACAAUGCUGGCAACAGCGAUAAGGGGACCUCGAGUGCUACGAUACAAUCGUGGCUGUCUAGUUGCCUAAAAAGCAAUUGAUAGCAAGGGCCGGGCAAGACCGGUGCCAGCCGCCGCGGUAACACCGGCGGCUCGAGUGGUAACCGCUAUUAUUGGGUCUAAAGGGUCUGUAGCCGGCUUAGUUAGUCUCUUGAGAAAUCUGGCCGCUCAACGGUCAGGCGUUCAGGGGAUACUGCUAAAGCUCGAGACCGGGAGAGGUGAGAGGUACUUCAGGGGUAGGGGUGAAAUCUUGUAAUCCUUGAAGGACCACCAGUGGCGAAGGCGUCUCACCAGAACGGAUCUGACGGCAAGGGACGAAAGCUAGGGGCACGAACCGGAUUGGAUACCCGGGUAGUCCUAGCCGUAAACGAUACUCGCUAGGUGUCGGCCACGGUGCGACCGUGGUCGGUGCCGUAGGGAAGCCGUGAAGCGAGCCACCUGGGAAGUACGGCCGCAAGGCUGAAACUUAAAGGAAUUGGCGGGGGAGCAC